UCUCCGUAGGUGAACCUGCGGAGGGAUCAUUACAGAGUUCAUGCCCUACCGGGUAGAUCUCCCACCCUAUGUUAUUAUUACUUUGUUGCUUUGGCGGGCCGUUAGGCUCCGGCCCGACCACCGGCCCCGGCUGGUAAGCGCCCGCCAGAGGACCCAAAACCCUGAAUAUUAGUGUCGUCCGAGUACUAUAUAAUAGUUAAAACUUUCAACAACGGAUCUCUUGGUUCUGGCAUCGAUAAGAACGCAGC
This 248-nucleotide unclassified non-coding RNA is filed under the name plant metagenome. RNAcentral describes it as "partial contains small subunit ribosomal RNA, internal transcribed spacer 1, and 5.8S ribosomal RNA". The record is from RNAcentral.